Non-coding RNA from Danio rerio (zebrafish), 331 nucleotides. The record is from RefSeq and is a predicted model, not a curated record. Lineage: Eukaryota; Metazoa; Chordata; Actinopteri; Cypriniformes; Danionidae.
CACCCACCCAUUUUUUUUCUCCUCCACUACGUCCCUUCCGGGGUUCCGUAGAUACCGCAUGGGGAACAGAAAGAAAAUACUCUGCAUUUCGUGACUCGGUGUUCCAUUAAGGAUGCAACUGCUGAUGUCAGAUGGCAUUGACUCAUGAAGGCAACACAAUAGAUUUGAUUGCUCUCAUUAUUCAGCCCAUGUGAUUAUGUGACCUCACACCAUGUUUGAUGAAAACAGCUUCAUUUAAAAAAAAAAUGCCAUAGAUGACAUGGGACAUGUGACAAUUUGUGCUCAUAUGAACCCUCAUAUGGAAAGCAAAGAAUAAAACAACCAAAUAUAA